Non-coding RNA from Ornithorhynchus anatinus (platypus), 72 nucleotides. The record is from Rfam. NCBI's taxonomy places the organism in Eukaryota, Metazoa, Chordata, Mammalia, Monotremata, Ornithorhynchidae.
AGCAGCGUGGCUCAGUGGAAAGAGCCCGGGCUUGGCAGUCCGAGGUCAUGGGUUCGAAUCCCGGCUCUGCCG